AGUGAACGCUGGCGGUAGGCCUAACACAUGCAAGUCGAACGGCAGCACAGUAAGAGCUUGCUCUUACGGGUGGCGAGUGGCGGACGGGUGAGGAAUACAUCGGAAUCUACUUUUUCGUGGGGGAUAACGUAGGGAAACUUACGCUAAUACCGCAUACGACCUACGUGUGAAAGCAGGGGAUCUUCGGACCUUGCGCGAUUGAAUGAGCCGAUGUCGGAUUAGCUAGUUGGCGGGGUAAAGGCCGACCAAGGCGACGAUCCGUAGCUGGUCUGAGAGGAUGAUCAGCCAGACUGGAACUGAGACACGGUCCAGACUCCUACGGGAGGAAGCAGUGGGGAAUAUUGGACAAUGGGCGAAAGCCUGAUCCAGCCAUACCGCGUGGGUGAAGAAGGCCUUCGGGUUGUAAAGCCCUUUUGUUGGGAAAGAAAAGCAGCAGGUUAAUACCCCGCUGUUCUGACGGUACCCAAAGAAUAAGCACCGGCUAACUUCGUG
This 492-nucleotide ribosomal RNA is filed under the name uncultured bacterium. RNAcentral describes it as "partial 16S ribosomal RNA". It matches the Rfam family "Bacterial small subunit ribosomal RNA", at positions 29 to 507 of the family's 1533-position model. The record is from RNAcentral.